AGUGAACGCUGGCGGUAGGCCUAACACAUGCAAGUCGAACGGCAGCACAGGAGAGCUUGCUCUCUGGGUGGCGAGUGGCGGACGGGUGAGGAAUACAUCGGAAUCUACUCUGUCGUGGGGGAUAACGUAGGGAAACUUACGCUACUACCGCAUACGACCUACGGGUGAAAGCAGGGGAUCUUCGGACCUUGCGCGAUUGAAUGAGCCGAUGUCGGAUUAGCUAGUUGGCGGGGUAAAGGCCCACCAAGGCGACGAACCGUAGCUGGUCUGAGAGGAUGAUCAGCCACACUGGAACUGAGACACGGUCCAGACUCCUACGGGAGGCAGCAGUGGGGAAUAUUGGACAAUGGGCGCAAGCUUGAUCCAGCCAUACCGCGUGGGUGAAGAAGGCCUUCGGGUUGUAAAGCCCUUUUGUUGGGAAAGAAAUCCAGCUGGCUAAUACCCGGUUGGGAUGACGGUACCCAAAGAAUAAGCACCGGCUAACUUCGUGCCAGCCGCCGCCGUAA
RNAcentral lists this ribosomal RNA (506 nucleotides) under uncultured bacterium. Its description in RNAcentral is "partial 16S ribosomal RNA". It matches the Rfam family "Bacterial small subunit ribosomal RNA", at positions 29 to 523 of the family's 1533-position model. The record is from RNAcentral.